UCUUAGUGGCGGACGGGUGAGUAACGCGUGGGUAACCUGCCUUAUACAGGGGGAUAACACUUAGAAAUAGGUGCUAAUACCGCAUAAGCGCACGGGGCUGCAUGGCCCAGUGUGAAAAACUCCGGUGGUAUAAGAUGGACCUGCGUCUGAUUAGCUUGUUGGCGGGGUAACGGCCCACCAAGGCGACGAUCAGUAGCCGGCCUGAGAGGGUGGACGGCCACAUUGGGACUGAGACACGGCCCAAACUCCUACGGAAGGCAGCAG
RNAcentral lists this ribosomal RNA (264 nucleotides) under uncultured bacterium. RNAcentral's name for it is "partial 16S ribosomal RNA". It matches the Rfam family "Bacterial small subunit ribosomal RNA", at positions 90 to 354 of the family's 1533-position model. The record is from RNAcentral.